UACGUAGGGCGCAAGCGUUGUCCGGAAUUAUUGGGCGUAAAGAGCUCGUAGGCGGCUUGUCACGUCGGGUGUGAAACCCCGGGGCUCAACCCCGGAACUGCAUCCGAUACUGCGUGGCUAGAGGUAGGUAGGGGAGAUCGGAAUUCCUGGUGUAGCGGUGAAAUGCGCAGAUAUCAGGAGGAACACCGGUGGCGAAGGCGGAUCUCUGGGCCUUACCUGACGCUCAGGCACGAAAGCUAGGGGAGCGAACAGG
This 253-nucleotide ribosomal RNA is filed under the name uncultured bacterium. RNAcentral's name for it is "partial 16S ribosomal RNA". It matches the Rfam family "Bacterial small subunit ribosomal RNA", at positions 524 to 776 of the family's 1533-position model. The record is from RNAcentral.